RNAcentral lists this transfer RNA (71 nucleotides) under Diversibipalium multilineatum. RNAcentral's name for it is "tRNA-Ser". Lineage: Eukaryota; Metazoa; Platyhelminthes; Tricladida; Geoplanidae. The record is from RNAcentral.
AGAGAAUUAAGUAACAGAAAUAAGAGACUUCUAAUCUAUUUAUUGAGAAAAUUUACGCUUUCUCUUCUCUU